RNAcentral lists this ribosomal RNA (491 nucleotides) under uncultured bacterium. RNAcentral's name for it is "partial 16S ribosomal RNA". It matches the Rfam family "Bacterial small subunit ribosomal RNA", at positions 29 to 506 of the family's 1533-position model. The record is from RNAcentral.
AGUGAACGCUGGCGGUAGGCCUAACACAUGCAAGUCGAACGGCAGCACAGUAAGAGCUUGCUCUUACGGGUGGCGAGUGGCGGACGGGUGAGGAAUACAUCGGAAUCUACUUUUUCGUGGGGGAUAACGUAGGGAAACUUACGCUAAUACCGCAUACGACCUACGGGUGAAAGCAGGGGAUCUUCGGACCUUGCGCGAUUGAAUGAGCCGAUGUCGGAUUAGCUAGUUGGCGGGGUAAAGGCCCACCAAGGCGACGAUCCGUAGCUGGUCUGAGAGGAUGAUCAGCCACACUGGAACUGAGACACGGUCCAGACUCCGACGGGAGGCAGAAGUGGGGAAUAUUGGACAAUGGGCGCAAGCCUGAUCCAGCCAUACCGCGGGGGUGAAGAAGGCCUUCGGGUUGUAAAGCCCUUUUGUUGGGAAAGAAAAGCAGCAGGUUAAUACCCCGCUGUUCGGACGGGACCCAAAGAAUAAGCACCGGCGAACUUCGG